RNAcentral lists this ribosomal RNA (254 nucleotides) under uncultured bacterium. RNAcentral's name for it is "partial 16S ribosomal RNA". It matches the Rfam family "Bacterial small subunit ribosomal RNA", at positions 524 to 776 of the family's 1533-position model. The record is from RNAcentral.
UACGGGGGGAGCAAGCGUUGUUCGGAUUUACUGGGCGUAAAGGGCGCGUAGGCGGCCACCGCAGGUCGGUUGUGAAAUCUCUGGGCUUAACUCAGAAAGGUCAACCGAUACUGCGGGGCUAGAGUGCAGAAGGGGCAACUGGAAUUCUUGGUGUAGCGGUGAAAUGCGUAGAUAUCAAGAGGAACACCUGCGGCGAAGGCGGGUUGCUGGGCCGACACUGACGCUGAGGCGCGAAAGCCAGGGGAGCGAACGGG